RNAcentral lists this ribosomal RNA (253 nucleotides) under uncultured bacterium. RNAcentral describes it as "partial 16S ribosomal RNA". It matches the Rfam family "Bacterial small subunit ribosomal RNA", at positions 524 to 776 of the family's 1533-position model. The record is from RNAcentral.
UACGGAGGGGACUAGCGUUGUUCGGAAUUAUUGGGCGUAAAGAGCUCGUAGGCGGUUUGUCGCGUCUGCUGUGAAAACCUAAGGCUCAACCUUGGGCUUGCAGUGGGUACGGGCAGACUAGAGUGCGGUAGGGGUGACUGGAAUUCCUGGUGUAGCGGUGGAAUGCGCAGAUAUCAGGAGGAACACCGAUGGCGAAGGCAGGUCACUGGGCCGCAACUGACGCUGAGGAGCGAAAGCAUGGGGAGCGAACAGG